RNAcentral lists this ribosomal RNA (433 nucleotides) under uncultured bacterium. RNAcentral's name for it is "partial 16S ribosomal RNA". It matches the Rfam family "Bacterial small subunit ribosomal RNA", at positions 29 to 507 of the family's 1533-position model. The record is from RNAcentral.
AACGAACGCUGGCGGCAUGCCUAACACAUGCAAGUCGAACGAGACCUUCGGGUCUAGUGGCGCACGGGUGCGUAACGCGUGGGAACCUGCCCUUAGGUUCGGAAUAACUCCCCGAAAGGGGUGCUAAUACCGGAUAAUGUCUUCGGACCAAAGAUUUAUCACCUUUGGAUGGGCCCGCGUUGGAUUAGCUAGUUGGUAGGGUAAAAGCCUACCAAGGAGACGAUCCAUAGCUGGUCUGAGAGGAUGAUCAGCCACACUGGGACUGAGACACGGCCCAGACUCCUACGGGAGGCAGCAGUGGGGAAUAUUGGACAAUGGGCGAAAGCCUGAUCCAGCAAUGCCGCGUGAGUGAUGAAGGCCUUAGGGUUGUAAAGCUCUUUUACCCGGGAUGAUAAUGACAGUACCGGGAGAAUAAGCUCCGGCUAACUCCGUG